RNAcentral lists this unclassified non-coding RNA (379 nucleotides) under soil metagenome. Its description in RNAcentral is "partial contains 5.8S ribosomal RNA, internal transcribed spacer 2, and large subunit ribosomal RNA". The stretch from base 1 to 120 matches the Rfam family "5.8S ribosomal RNA", at positions 35 to 154 of the family's 154-position model. The record is from RNAcentral.
GAUGAAGAACGCAGCGAAAUGCGAUAAGUAAUGUGAAUUGCAGAAUUCAGUGAAUCAUCGAAUCUUUGAACGCACCUUGCACCCUUUGGCAUUCUGAAGGGUAUGCUCGUUUGAGUGUCAUUGUACUCUCACACUCCCGAUCUUUGCAUUGGGAGCAGUGGACUUGGGUUUGCUGCUUCACCGUCGCUUACCUCAAAUAGGUUAGUGCAACUCUUGGUUGGACAUAGUACGGCGUGAUAAGUGUUCUUCGCCGGUGCCUCGCAAAGAGGGUGGCCGAUCGGGAUGUUGUGCUCCAAACCGUCUUCGGACAAUCUCUGACGACUUGACCUCAAAUCGAGUAAGACUACCCGCUGAACUUAAGCAUACAAUAAGCGGAGGA